GAAAUGCGAUAAGUAAUGUGAAUUGCAGAAUUCCGUGAAUCAUUAAAUCUUUGAACGCAAAUUGCACUUCUUGGUAUUCCGAGAAGUAUGCUUGCUUGAGGGUUGGUCUACAAAAUAAAUCGUGAAAAAUUUUUUUCGCGGAUCUGGGUUUUUCCAAAAUGGUAACCUUAAAUUUAUCUUAACAAUCAUUAGGUAUUGAUAUUAGAAAUGUUUAUCUUAUGCAUUGAUAAUUAUACCAAUUGUUACAUCGCGUUAUUCAUCUAGUAUCCUUUAUUAGGUGGAAUAACUCAAUCUUUCUAAUCCUACCUCAAGUCAAGUAAGAAUACCCGCUGAACUUAA
This 339-nucleotide unclassified non-coding RNA is filed under the name uncultured Acaulosporaceae. Its description in RNAcentral is "sequence contains ITS1". The stretch from base 1 to 105 matches the Rfam family "5.8S ribosomal RNA", at positions 50 to 154 of the family's 154-position model. Lineage: Eukaryota; Fungi; Glomeromycota; Glomeromycetes; Diversisporales; Acaulosporaceae. The record is from RNAcentral.